Molecule: ribosomal RNA, 208 nt
Filed under: uncultured bacterium
Lineage: Bacteria
Description: partial 16S ribosomal RNA
Rfam family: Bacterial small subunit ribosomal RNA
Source: RNAcentral
UCGGAUUGUAGUCUGCAACCCGGCUACAUGAGGCUGGAAUCGCUAGUAAUCGCGGAUCAGAAUGCCGCGGUGAAUACGUUCCCGGGUCUUGUACACACCGCCCGUCACACCAUGGGAGUCGGAAAUGCCCGAAGUCUGUGACCCAACCUCAGGGAGGGAGCAGCCGAAGGCAGGUCGGAUGACUGGGGUGAAGUCGUAACAAGGUACC